AUAAAGGAGGCAAAAAGGAUCAAAAAAGAAAAGAAAAAAGAAAAAAACUCUCUUCUCCUUUGCCCAAUAGAGUAGAGUAGUAUUUUUUUUUUUUCUACAAUCCUCAAAGCGUCAAAACCAAUUCAUCUCUCUUUCUUUGAAUUCCAUUUUUUCUCUCUCACACAGACACACACACUUUAAUCUGUGCUUCCCAUUCUCACACACACCCCUUUCCUAAAACACACAUUUCCCCUUUUUCCUAUUUAUAUUUCUACUUCUCUUUGGAUUUUCAAGAACCCCUUUAUGUAUGCUUCUUGGGAAUGAAAAAAAAUUCAAUCUUUAUCUGUUAGAAAAUCAAGAAAAGUUGUGGAUUUGUCAUUUUAUUUGGUUUCUUGGAAGUUUUUAUGUUUAGGGUUUCCAUUUCUAUUUUAAUCCCUUGAUCAAGUAUUCCUAUCAGAAGCUCCCCUUUAGGGUUCCUUUUGUUUUAAUUUUAAUCUUUUAUUUUGGGUAAAGGUGGGUUUUUUAUUUUAUUUUAUCAUUUUCUUGCAUUUUGGGGGUUGAUAUAUAAGACUAUAUAAAAGCUAUUAAGUAAUAUUGACACCCUUCUUGGUAAUUUAUGGUGAAUUGGCCUUAAUCAUAUAAUUGAACUACUUUGUUGGGGGGUUUUAUUUGUAAUUCAGAUUUAGUUUUUGUAUGAUAAGCUAGUUUGAAACAGCAUUUAGAGGGAAACUGGAGAAAAAAGGUUGGAUUUAUUGUUAAAGUUGUUGAAAAACAAAAGAAGAACAUUUUGUAGUUGGGUUAAAAACAAGUAGUGUUGUAUGGGAGAGCUUGAGGAAUGGGCAGAGCCAAGUGGGCUAUUGCCAAAUGGUCUAGUGGCAGAUGCGGGGCCCGUUAUCGGAGUCCUCGACUCUGAGAGAUGGUCAAAGGCUGAGGAAAGGACUGCAGAGCUUAUUGCCUGCAUUAAGCCUAAUCAACCAUCCGAGGAGCGUAGAAAUGCUGUUGCUGAUUACGUCCAGCGGCUCAUCAUGAAGUGUUUCCCAUGUCAGGUUUUUACAUUUGGCUCAGUACCCUUGAAGACUUAUCUUCCUGAUGGGGACAUUGAUUUAACUGCCUUCAGUAACAACCAAAGUUUAAAAGAUACAUGGGCUCAUCAGGUUCGUGAUAUGCUAGAGAAGGAGGAGAAAAAUGAAAAUGCUGAAUUUCAUGUUAAGGAGGUUCAGUACAUUCAGGCAGAAGUGAAGUUAAUUAAAUGUUUAGUUGAAAAUAUCGUGGUUGACAUAUCUUUCAAUCAGCUAGGGGGUCUAUGUACCCUUUGCUUCCUGGAGGAGGUUGAUCACCUGAUAAACCAGAAUCAUUUAUUCAAGCGCAGCAUUAUCUUGAUUAAGGCAUGGUGUUAUUAUGAGAGCCGUUUACUGGGUGCUCAUCACGGUCUCAUUUCAACUUAUGCCUUGGAAACAUUAGUUCUUUACAUAUUUCAUGUGUUCAACAAUUCCUUUGCUGGGCCACUUGAGGUCCUUUACCGCUUCUUGGAGUUCUUCAGCAACUUCGAUUGGGACAACUUUUGUGUUAGUUUAUGGGGUCCUGUGCCAAUCAGUUCACUUCCUGAUGUCACUGCGGAACCUCCUCGCAAAGAUGCUGGAGAAUUGCUUCUCAGUAAAUUGUUUCUUGAUGCCUGUAGCUCCGUCUAUGCUGUUUUUCCUGGUGGGCAGGAAAACCAAGGGCUACCUUUUGUCUCCAAAUAUUUUAAUGUGAUCGAUCCUUUACGAGUAAACAACAACCUUGGCCGUAGUGUGAGUAAAGGUAACUUUUAUAGGAUACGGAGUGCGUUCGGAUUUGGUGCCAAAAGGCUGGCAAGGUUACUGGACUGCCCCAAAGAAAAUCUAAUUUAUGAGGUAAACCAGUUUUUUAUGAAUACAUGGGAGAGGCAUGGCAGUGGCCAAAGGCCUGAUGCCCCAGAGGCAGAAUUGUCACGCCUAAGAUUGUCAACACCAGAUGACAUACCGGACUCUCAGAAUUUUAGGGUCAACCCCAGUGGGAAAAAGGUAAGUAAGGUGGAGGGAGCCAAUCCACGGAAUGUUUCUUCUCAACAUGGUAAUCACUCUUCUGGAACCUUCUCUAGAAUGAAUGAUUCUUCUGUGUCCUCUUAUACUGAAAACCAAAAGAGCCAUGGCAAUUUGAGCAACUCAAGGGUUCCUGAUCAAGUGCAGAAGGAAGCCACUUCCUCUCAGGUUUCACAUACCGACAAAAUCCAGAGAGAAUCAAAAUCUGAUCAAGUAGUGAAUGAUAUCCAGGGUAGGUUUGUUUUUGCCAGAACGCGGUCUAGUCCUGAGCUUACAGACACCUAUGGUGACAGUAACAAUCAAGGAAGGCGUGGAAGAGCUCCAGAGAUUGCAAAAACGCAACCCACUCCGAUGAGGCAGGACAGCAGUUAUAAGAGGAAGAACCAAGGAUCUGAAAAUAUAGCAGGUCAGAGCGGUCGAUCUUUAAAUGAUAACACGCCAUCUGUUAGACACGUUCCAUCCCAUCAGAGUCAUGAUCCUGUCACCGAAUCUAACGGUGGAUCAAAUAGCUUUCACCGAGAAUCAAGCAUUGAUGUUCUGAAUGAAGAGCUCUCAUCCACUAGCGGGACACAAGGGAUGCAUCAGGAAGAGCAAGAUCUUGUGAACAUGAUGGCAUCUACUUCAAUGCAUGGAUUUAAUGGGCAAGUUCAUUUUCCUUUUAACUGGGCUUCAGCUCAAUUGCCUUUUCCUAUCUCUCCUCCAUUUCUUACUUCUAUGGGUUAUAAUCAACGAAAUAUGCCAGGAGUUCCCACUAGUAUUCCUUUUAUGGAUCCUGCAUUCUCGAACAUGCAAUUUCCGCAUGGUUUGAUUUCACCCCAUUUCAACCAGUACUUCCCAGGCCUCGGGUUGAAUCCAACUUCUGAAGAUCCAAUUGACCGCAAUAAUGAAAAUUUUAGCCCUAUGGAGAUGAACUCAGGUGAGGCAGAAAAUGAUUUCUGGCAAGAGCCAGAUGCUGGCUCCAGUGUUGGAUUUGACCCAGAAAAUGGAAAUUAUGAAACACUUCAAUCUGAUUUUAAGCAACAGUCUAUACAUUCAGGUUUUAACUUUGUUCCUUCAUCUUGGGUUACUGGCUCCGGCAACUCUCUGGGAGCUCAGCAGAAGUAUAUGAAAGAAAAACGUGGGCCAAUUGGGGAAGAACAUUCUGAUAAUAUUCAGUUUCAGGAUAGCAGAGUGAAUGACAUUUAUGCUGAAGAAAGGAUGGCAAGUUCCAGGUUCUCAUCCAGUGCUCAUAGUAGUUCUAUGAGAAGUAAAACCUCUUCUGAGAGUUCUUGGGAUGGGUCUUCUGCUAAAAGCACAAAGUCAGCAAAGGAAAGCCGGGGAAAGAAAACAGGUGCUGCAGAGCCAACUAGUGGUUAUGGAAAAGGUAAAAUGAUGUCUGACCACGUGUCAGAUCAAGCUGAGGAUGAAGAUCAGGAUUGGAAUUCUGUGUCAAACGUGGGUACUGAAAUGGCUGAGAGAAUCCAAGGACCUCAAUCUGUUAUUUCCAUGCACCUUGCAAGGCAUGUGGCUGAACAUGAAGUUGCUCAGACAAGUGGAUCGGACCCAAUGAUGCCCAUUGCACCAAUGCUUAUUGGGCCUGGUUCUCGGCAAAGAAUGACUGAUAAUUCUGGGGUUAUUGCAUUUUAUCCCACUGGGCCACCAGUUCCAUUUCUAACUAUGCUUCCAAUAUACAAUAUUCCACCUGAGGCAGGAACACCUGAUUCUUCAACAAGCCCUUUAGGAGGAGAAGAAUGCUUAGAUCAUAGGGAUUCAGGCCAGAACUUUGAUACGUCUGAGGGAGUACUUGACCACUCUGAAGAUUUAACUCCAUCCAGUUCUUUUAGAGGGGCUACUUCUAUUGAGGCACCUGAUGAACACAGGCCCGAUAUACUUAACAGUGACUUUGCUAGUCACUGGCAAAAUUUGCAAUAUGGAAGGUUUUGCCAAAACCCUAGACAUUCUGGACAACUUGUUUAUCCUUCUCCUGUAAUGGUACCACCUGUAUAUUUACAGGGUCGUUUCCCGUGGGAUGGUCCUGGACGACCUCAUUCAGCGAACAUGAACCACUUUACUCAGCUGACAAGCUAUGGUCCUCGUGCAUUGCCCAUUGCACCUCUACAGUCUGCUUCUAAUAGACCUCCUAAUGUGUUUCAACGGUAUGUUGAUGAGAUACCAAGAUUCCGCAGCGGGACAGGGACGUACCUGCCAAAUCCUAAGGUUUCAGUUAGGGAUCGGCACUCAUCUAAUACAAGAAGGGGGAAUUACAACUAUGAGAGAAACGAUAACCAUGUGGACAGAGAAUCGAAUUGGACUAUGAAUCCAAAAUCUCGUGCUGGUGGGCGCAAUUACAACCGCAGCCAAUCUGAGAAAUCAAACUCAAGAGGGGAUAGGUUGGCAUCCAAUGAUAGCCGGGCAGACAGAUCAUGGAGCUCACAUAGGCAUGACUCCGUUCCUUCUUAUCUGUCCCAAAAUGGUCAAUUGCGUGGAAACUCAAGCCAUAGUGGCCCUCCUCCAAAUGUGGCAUAUGGCAUGUAUCCUUUAACAGCAAUGAACCCAAGUGGAGUGACUUCAAAUGAACCUGGUGGAUCCCCUGUUGUAAUGCUCUAUCCAUUUGACCACAAUGCCGGUUAUGGUCCACAAGGAGAACAGCUUGAGUUUGGGUCUCUGGGUCGUCCAGCAAGUGUAAAUGAACAAUCUCAGCCAGGUGAGGGAAAUCGUCAACGGGGAGCAUUUGAGCAACAGAGAUUUCAUGCAGUUUCUGGGCAACGGUCUUCUCCAGAUCAACCAUCUUCACCUCAUCAUCAAAGGAGGAUUUAAUGACUUUGGCAGAUCAGUGGCUGGAAGGAAUUAUCAUUAAAGGGUACAAAUUUGUAAUCCCUUUAAUAUUAAGCUGGAAAGAAGACGGUAACAGCCAGUCAUAUGCUCACUUUAGUUUUGCAGUGAAGAUCUGGACCACGAGUUACUCUUUAGAUUUUGCGAGGAAGUGGUCACAUCUGAUCCUUCAGCUCUUAGUUUUGUAUUUUAGCUGCAGCAACCUUCUUCAAAGAGAUAUAGGUUUAUUCUGUUCUUGUAGAGAGAUUAGCAUACUGUAAUCUCAUUGGGAAGUAGAAACUCUUCCAAGAAUUUAGAGUUUUUAACUUGUUAUAGUAGUUUUACCAUCAAAAAAAUUCAUUUUCAAUAGAAUGUAGUAGGAUUUUGUCAAGAAAAAUGUACUUGUACUAGCUUCGGCUCACUUGGGGUAUUUUUACAGUGUAGCGAUGCGACUGUGAUGCUGACACAGAAUUUAGAGUCCAAUUCGAAACAUGAUCUUUCAUCUGCUGUGCUAGUAACAUCAGGAAGUUCUCUUUUGAUUCAUGCAAUGGUUAGGAGGGGGCAUGUAUCAUAUUAUUGCUUCCAAAAAGUACGCACGUGGUGUCAAUGAAGCUGGAAUAGACCAUGGGGAGACUCAGAUUUAUACAACGGCUGGGGCAAAGAUGUCGAGUCAUUUCUUUUCAUCUGUCUAAGCUUUGUGGAGAGUUACACGGUGAUUGUGUUGGUGGAGGGAGCAGUUUUGUAUAAAGAAGAAGAAGAAGAGGUUGAGGAAGAUGAGAAGGAGGAAGACCAUGGGCAUGUGUUACGCUUUACGGAUUAGGGAUUCUUGUUUUGGUCUAUGUUACUCGGACUCUUCAAAAAUGGACACGGGUGCAUGUCGGAUCCUCCGAAAGUAGUACAUUUUUUAAGGAUCCGACACGAGUGCGGCGUCAUUUUUGAAGAGUCCGAGCAACAUAGGUUUUAGUGAUGAAAACUUACUAGCCCAGUAUCGUUUAUGAUUGAUUAAGAUGAAGAUUUUCCAGUAGUCGAUUUCCAGGCUCGGUUAGCUUUACUUAGUUGUAAUAGGUAAUAUGCCUUUUAAAAUUUGUCUUAAAUCAAAUAGAGUAUGAUCGUUGUUGGACAACUAAUUUUUCAUUCAUUUGGAAUUGUGAUUUUACCUUGCU
This is an RNA transcript of Lycium barbarum (goji berry), 5992 nucleotides long. RefSeq lists it as uncharacterized. The transcript has 10 exons. The record is from RefSeq and is a predicted model, not a curated record. Lineage: Eukaryota; Viridiplantae; Streptophyta; Magnoliopsida; Solanales; Solanaceae.